RNAcentral lists this ribosomal RNA (253 nucleotides) under uncultured bacterium. RNAcentral's name for it is "partial 16S ribosomal RNA". It matches the Rfam family "Bacterial small subunit ribosomal RNA", at positions 524 to 776 of the family's 1533-position model. The record is from RNAcentral.
UACGGAGGGUGCAAACGUUGCUCGGACUCAUGGGGCGUAAAGCGCACGUAGGCGGUUCGUUAUGUCGGAUGUGAAAGCCUCGGGCUUAACCCGAGAAGUGCAUCCGAAACUGGCGGGCUUGAGUACGGAAGAGGGUCUCGGAAUUCCCGGUGUAGAGGUGAAAUUCGUAGAUAUCGGGAGGAACACCAGUGGCGAAGGCGGGGACCUGGGCCGAUACUGGCGCUGAGGUGCGAAAGCGUGGGGAGCAAACAGG